Molecule: ribosomal RNA, 439 nt
Filed under: Salmonella enterica subsp. indica serovar 41:b:1,7
Lineage: Bacteria; Pseudomonadati; Pseudomonadota; Gammaproteobacteria; Enterobacterales; Enterobacteriaceae
Description: partial 23S ribosomal RNA
Rfam family: Bacterial large subunit ribosomal RNA
Source: RNAcentral
ACUUAAGUGUUGUUGGGUAGGGGAGCGUUCUGUAAGCCGUUGAAGGUGUGCUGUGAGGCAUGCUGGAGGUAUCAGAAGUGCGAAUGCUGACAUAAGUAACGAUAAAGCGGGUGAAAAGCCCGCUCGCCGGAAGACCAAGGGUUCCUGUCCAACGUUAAUCGGGGCAGGGUGAGUCGACCCCUAAGGCGAGGCCGAAAGGCGUAGUCGAUGGGAAACGGGUUAAUAUUCCCGUACUUGGUGUUACUGCGAAGGGGGGACGGAGAAGGCUAUGUUGGCCGGGCGACGGUUGUCCCGGUUUAAGCGUGUAGGCUGGUUUUCCAGGCAAAUCCGGAAAAUCAAGGCUGAGGCGUGACGACGAGGCACCACGGUGCUGAAGCAACAAAUGCCCUGCUUCCAGGAAAAGCCUCUAAGCUCCAGGUAACACGAAAUCGUACCCCAA